Penaeus monodon (black tiger shrimp) is the source of this 116-nucleotide small nuclear RNA. RefSeq annotates it as U5 spliceosomal RNA. The record is from RefSeq and is a predicted model, not a curated record. NCBI's taxonomy places the organism in Eukaryota, Metazoa, Arthropoda, Malacostraca, Decapoda, Penaeidae. The transcript has a single exon.
AACUCUGGUUUCUCUUCGAAACUCAUAAAUCUUGUGCGUAUUACUAAAGAUUUCCGUGGUGGGGAAAUAAUUCAGUGCAGAGAUAAUAAUAAUAAGAAUAAUAAUUAUAUUAUUAU